Dreissena polymorpha is the source of this 302-nucleotide long non-coding RNA. RefSeq lists it as uncharacterized. Lineage: Eukaryota; Metazoa; Mollusca; Bivalvia; Myida; Dreissenidae. The record is from RefSeq and is a predicted model, not a curated record. The transcript has 2 exons.
CUCCUUACAUAUUGCCAUUGAAUAAAGAUAAGAUAAAAGUAUAUUUCUAGGUCAUCAUGUGAGUGUUAACAAUCAGUUAUAUAGAACAUCUUGGAUAUAUGCAGCCAGCAUUCUGACUGACCAGUUACAGAAACUUUCUGACACUGCAAGAGCUGCUGAAGGUUUUCUGCAAUGGAUGAACAAGCUUUCAAAGCCCAACUUGAUGCUGUAAGAGCUGUAGCAGAGAGAUCAAUGGUAGAAGAAAGAGCACGGUCUCAAAGAGCAAUGGCUGAACAAGAACGAGCUUUCAAAGCCCAACUUGA